GGGCCGUUAGCUCAGCCGGUAGAGCAGGUGACUCUUAAUCACAAGGUCACAGGUUCGAAUCCUGUACGGCCCACCA
RNAcentral lists this transfer RNA (76 nucleotides) under Candidatus Hydrogenedentota bacterium. RNAcentral describes it as "tRNA-Lys". It matches the Rfam family "tRNA". Rfam says of the family: Transfer RNA (tRNA) molecules are approximately 80 nucleotides in length. RNAcentral also lists the same sequence under 1 other name. Lineage: Bacteria; Pseudomonadati; Candidatus Hydrogenedentota. The record is from RNAcentral.